Molecule: long non-coding RNA, 1190 nt
Organism: Glycine soja
Lineage: Eukaryota; Viridiplantae; Streptophyta; Magnoliopsida; Fabales; Fabaceae
Exons: 3
Source: RefSeq, a predicted model, not a curated record
ACAUCGUUUCUAGAAAAACCCGUCCUCCCUGAGAAAAUUUCUUUGCAUCUGUUUGUCUUCUUAAUAUUUUUUAUUUUCAACUUUUAAUUCCCUCCAUUCAUUCCUUUCCCUUGCAUUCAUUUCUCCGCGUCUGUUCCUCUUUCCUCUUUCUCCUCACAUCUUUUCCUCUUCUCCAUGUCACUCUGUUCCUUUUCCCCGCAUUCCACUCCAUGGAAAGAGCUACACAUUUGAAUGGAAGCAGAAUCGCAUUUGGAUGGAAGCGGUGGCGGAGGGGCUAUGGGGACUCGCAGAGUACCAUGGGAAGAGAGGGGAAAUAGGGAAAGCAGUGAAAUGCCUCGAGGUAUUCCGCCGCAGAAAUAGGUCUUGCACAAGGGACUCGAGCUCAUUGCGUCCAUUGGAGAAAGAUCGGUCGUGGCGCGUUUGGCACCGUGAUUCUCGUAAACCACAAAAGCGAAGAAGAAGAAGUAUGUGUUGAAGAAAAUCAGGCUCGCGCGACAGACUGAACGAUGCAAAAGAUCUACUGAUCAAGAGACUGCUCUUAUUGCUCGAAUUUAGCAUCCCUACAUUGUGCAAUUUAAAGAGGCUUGGGUUGAGAAGGUUAGAGAAAGCACCCUGUUUCAAUUGUUAUAUUGCAUAUGCAGUAAUGUACUUUUUGCUAUGUUUGCAUUGUUACUGGAUACUGUGAAGGUGGAGACAUAUGAGUGUAUUGGAUAAUACCUAUGAAGUCCUAGUGUCAUGUGAAGUUCAUGGGUGGUGUAUGUCCAAUUACUUACUAUUUUGUUAUGUUUGGAACUUGCUACUUUCUUUUUCUUCUUUAAAUCCAUUUUUUUUUAAAUGAUGUUAGGAUUCAUGCUAACUAUUAUUCUGGAAACAUCCAUCAUAGCUAUUGUCUUGCUUGUGUUGCUAGGUUCCUUCUAUGUGGUAAUUGCCUAUUAUCAUAUGCAAAUGUCUUCAUCAUUGGCAUGCAUUUGAAUCUGAGCUCACAACCAUAUUUGAUUACAUAGUUGAUGGAAUUAAUGAUGUCAUUAAGGUCAAUAUUUUGCUAUUAUAUUACUGUAUAUAUUUGAAUUGUGGGAUGGAUGCUUCUGUAAUUUUUAUGAGAUUUAGUUCAUUAGAGUGACAUCUUUUUUUUCUUAUAAUACUUUUUAGAUAGUAUCUACUUAACUUGUGCAUGAGCUUUGGCACCUAAA